AUUGAACGCUGGCGGAAUGCUUUACACAUGCAAGUCGAACGGUAGAGGGGGCAACCCCUUGAGAGUGGCGAACGGGUGAGUAAUAUAUCGGAACGUGCCCAGUCGUGGGGAUAACGUAGCGAAAGUUACGCUAAUACCGCAUACGAUCUAAGGAUGAAAGCGGGGGAUCGCAAGACCUCGCGCGAUUGGAGCGGCCGAUAUCAGAUUAGGUAGUUGGUGAGGUAAAGGCUCACCAAGCCAACGAUCUGUAGCUGGUCUGAGAGGACGACCAGCCACACUGGAACUGAGACACGGUCCAGACUCCUACGGGAGGCAGCAGUGGGGAAUUUUGGACAAUGGACGCAAGUCUGAUCCAGCCAUUCCGCGUGCAGGAUGAAGGCCCUCGGGUUGUAAACUGCUUUGUACGGAACGAAAGGUUUCUAUUAAUACUAGGAGCUCAUGACGGUACCGUAAGAAUAAGCACCGGCUAACUACGUGCCAGCAGCCGCGGU
Molecule: ribosomal RNA, 491 nt
Filed under: uncultured bacterium
Lineage: Bacteria
Description: bacterial SSU rRNA
Rfam family: Bacterial small subunit ribosomal RNA
Source: RNAcentral